This 432-nucleotide ribosomal RNA is filed under the name uncultured bacterium. RNAcentral describes it as "partial 16S ribosomal RNA". It matches the Rfam family "Bacterial small subunit ribosomal RNA", at positions 29 to 507 of the family's 1533-position model. The record is from RNAcentral.
ACGAACGCUGGCGGCAUGCCUAACACAUGCAAGUCGAACGAGACCUUCGGGUCUAGUGGCGCCCGGGUGCGUAACGCGUGGGAACCUGCCCUUAGGUUCGGAAUAACUCCCCGAAAGGGGUGCUAAUACCGGAUAAUGUCUUCGGACCAAAGCUUUAUCGCGUUUGGAUGGGCCCGCGUUGGAUUAGCUAGUUGGUAGGGUAAAAGCCUACCAAGGCGACGAUCCAUAGCUGGUCUGAGAGGAUGAUCAGCCACACUGGGACUGAGACACGGCCCAGACUCCUACGAGAGGCAGCAGAGGGGAAUAUUGGACAAUGGGCGAAAGCCUGAUCCAGCAAUGCCGCGUGAGUGAUGAAGGCCUUAGGGUUGUAAAGCUCUUUUACCCGGGAUGAUAAUGACAGUACCGAGAGAAUAAGCACCGGCUAACUCCGUG